GGGCCUGACUGGAAUUGACAGCGGAGGAGGUGGUGUGUAAGCACGCAGUGAGCCUGCAGGUGGUCACUCAAAUCACGGCCUGUAACAAUUUAUCUGGCGAAAAUGCUUACGCUCUCGCUGCUUAAUCGAAGUAUAGUAGAUUAGCUUCAUCUCAGCGCAAGGCGCAGAGACGAGACGUCGCCCAAGAGCCGUUUUCCCCGAGGCUUCUUGAUUCGGCGGCGCAGUGUAUCGGAGAUAGUUGUGGGUAGCCUCGUGCCCACAGCGAAAUGUUAGAGGAUACGGGUUGUGCCAAGGCUGCUUCCGCCCCAGCACAUCCCCGACAAUCCAAUAGGAAGCUAAGCGUGUAGAAAGCUCAUUAACUAUCCGUUUGGACGAGGGUUCAAUCCCCUCCAGGUCCACA
This 400-nucleotide transfer-messenger RNA is filed under the name Bacteroidales bacterium. It matches the Rfam family "transfer-messenger RNA". From Rfam's summary of the family: Bacterial tmRNA, also known as 10Sa RNA or SsrA, is named for its dual tRNA and mRNA-like properties. Its role is to liberate the mRNA from a stalled ribosome. To accomplish this part of the tmRNA is used as a reading frame that ends in a translation stop signal. The record is from RNAcentral. Lineage: Bacteria; Pseudomonadati; Bacteroidota; Bacteroidia; Bacteroidales.